UGGGUGGAGUGGAAAGAACUAC
RNAcentral lists this non-coding RNA (22 nucleotides) under Arabidopsis thaliana (thale cress). The record is from RNAcentral. Lineage: Eukaryota; Viridiplantae; Streptophyta; Magnoliopsida; Brassicales; Brassicaceae.